UCAAAAUAAAGUGUGUGGCUAACUAAACAUCUAUCAGCUCCUCUGUGUUUAAACACAGUGGUCCUCUUUGUGCUGCAGGUUGUUUUGUUUUGAGGCCUGGUCGCAAUUGCUGAUGUCACUACACAUAUUUUGGAAAAAAGACGCAAGCAUGCAUCUACAGAUUUAACCUUUUUCUCAGAGGAAGAACUUACUGGCUAUGGUACUAUAUUGUGAAAGCCAAGACAACUUAAGGGUACCCUGAGGAGAUGAGAUCAGGACCUUCAGAUUAUGAGACUCACGCCCUGCCAGCUGUGCUAAGAGGGCUCCUGAGGAGAUGAGAUGAAACAUAGAUGCUGUUUCAAAAUUGAUUAGUUCUCUGACUCGCCCACUGAAAUCAUCCAACCUAUUGAAAAAGCAGAAUGGGAUGUGGAUUAUAGGGUUUCAGAUAACACCAAGUCCCUAGUGAAAGAAGUACAACAACAGCCAUUUCCAUCAAAAUGUCAAGUGACAGGCCCAGUAGUCCUUGGAUGUUUAUUAGGUUGGACUUACAGGGGCUCCCCAUUCUUUCAC
This 549-nucleotide long non-coding RNA is filed under the name Macaca mulatta (Rhesus monkey). RNAcentral describes it as "lncRNA (ENSMMUG00000050159.1)". Lineage: Eukaryota; Metazoa; Chordata; Mammalia; Primates; Cercopithecidae. The record is from RNAcentral.